Molecule: non-coding RNA, 544 nt
Organism: Pelobates cultripes (western spadefoot toad)
Lineage: Eukaryota; Metazoa; Chordata; Amphibia; Anura; Pelobatidae
Source: the annotation of a GenBank genome assembly
UGUUACUCAGUAGUCGUAUUUCGUCUUCAGAAAAGACUGCAGGGGGCAGAGAGGAGACACAGACAGAUGAUUCAAGAAAGGAAUUCCAAAAAUAUAUGAAGAGAUAAAAAAGCAACUUCUACGAUUACUUAGAACAGAUGGGGAGAGACCUAUAAGGCGAAAAACUCCUCCAAGCUAAAGAAGAAACUCUGCAAAGACUGAAAAUGCAUAUUGAUUACAGCCAAACACUGAGGAUACACUGAUUUAAGAAGCCAGAUGUUAUGCAUUAACCAAAGGCUAUUAUAACUAAUUCUGGAUAAAUUUAACUGCACACGAGUGACUUAAACAUUGCACAGUUAUAAGGACUUUAAGGGAGUUAUAAAUUGAUGUAUUUGAGCACCGGGCAAGUGAAAGAUUUCUCCAUCCAUCUAAACAAACAGUACUCAUUGACUGAUCAGCCUGGAUUGUCUUAACCUUUAGUUCCAUGGUUCAUAUGUAAGGACCGUAAGCUCUGUACUGGUGGCACUGGAGCCUGCCAUUUAAAAAGGAGAAUCUCCUGCAUUCA